RNAcentral lists this ribosomal RNA (497 nucleotides) under uncultured bacterium. Its description in RNAcentral is "partial 16S ribosomal RNA". It matches the Rfam family "Bacterial small subunit ribosomal RNA", at positions 28 to 507 of the family's 1533-position model. The record is from RNAcentral.
GAUGAACGCUGGCGGCGUGCCUAAUACAUGCAAGUCGAGCGAACGGACGAGAAGCUUGCUUCUCUGAUGUUAGCGGCGGACGGGUGAGUAACACGUGGAUAACCUACCUAUAAGACUGGGAUAACUUCGGGAAACCGGAGCUAAUACCGGAUAAUAUUUUGAACCGCAUGGUUCAAAAGUGAAAGACGGUCUUGCUGUCACUUAUAGAUGGAUCCGCGCUGCAUUAGCUAGUUGGUAAGGUAACGGCUUACCAAGGCAACGAUGCAUAGCCGACCUGAGAGGGUGAUAGGCCACACUGGAACUGAGACACGGUCCAGACUCCUACGGGAGGCAGCAGUAGGGAAUCUUCCGCAAUGGGCGAAAGCCUGACGGAGCAACGCAGCGUGAGUGAUGAAAGUCUUCGGAUCGUAAAACUCUGUUAUUAGGGAAGAACAUAUGUGUAAGUAACUGUGCACAUCUUGACGGUACCUAAUCAGAAAGCCACGGCUAACUACGUG